Molecule: ribosomal RNA, 513 nt
Filed under: uncultured bacterium
Lineage: Bacteria
Description: partial 16S ribosomal RNA
Rfam family: Bacterial small subunit ribosomal RNA
Source: RNAcentral
GAUGAACGCUGGCGGCGUGCCUAAUACAUGCAAGUCGAGCGAACAGACGGGGAGCUUGCUCCCCCGACGUUAGCGGCGGACGGGUGAGUAACACGUGGGUAACCUACCUAUAAGACUGGAAUAACUCCGGGAAACCGGGGCUAAUGCCGGAUAACAUGUUGGACCGCAUGGUCCUACAGUGAAAGACGGUCUUGCUGUCACUUAUAGAUGGACCCGCGCCGUAUUAGCUAGUUGGUAAGGUAACGGCUUACCAAGGCAACGAUACGUAGCCGACCUGAGAGGGUGAUCGGCCACACUGGAACUGAGACACGGUCCAGACUCCUACGGGAGGCAGCAGUAGGGAAUCUUCCGCAAUGGGCGAAAGCCUGACGGAGCAACGCCGCGUGAGUGAUGAAGGCCUUCGGGUCGUAAAACUCUGUUAUUAGGGAAGAACAAAUGUGUAAAUAACUAUGCACGUCUUGACGGUACCUAAUCAGAAAGCCACGGCUAACUACGUGCCAGCAGCCGCGGUAA